This 331-nucleotide long non-coding RNA is filed under the name Amphibalanus amphitrite. RNAcentral's name for it is "uncharacterized LOC122374993". Lineage: Eukaryota; Metazoa; Arthropoda; Thecostraca; Balanomorpha; Balanidae. The record is from RNAcentral.
ACAUGUUCUUGAUAUUAUCAAGAGCUUUGGAAACUGCAUACGUUCCAUGCGCUUAUGAGACAUUUGUUGCGCAGUGUGUCCUCCCUGUAUAUUGCCGCCAAUUUCUCGGCAUUUUCAGCGGUUCAAACGUUUCUUCUGGGUUUCCGUUAUUUGAAAAAGGUGUCUAAUCGCCCGAUCAAUGUAGUGGAAGGGGUGAGUCGGCCAGUGAUGUCGAGAUGAGUGCGACACCUACGUGCAUCAACGUUUAGUGGACCUAAAGGACAUCGUCAGCACCGAGAUUUGCCAGCUGGAAACGCAGUGGGGCUACACGCAAUGGAGGCACGCGUACCAC